UACGGGAGGAGCGAGCAUUAUUCGGAAUUAUUGGGCGUAAAGAGCUCGUAGGCGGUUUGUCGCGUCUGCUGUGAAAAUCCAGGGCUUAACCCUGGACCUGCAGUGGGUACGGGCAGACUAGAGUGCGGUAGGGGAGAUCGGAAUUCCUGGUGUAGCGGUGAAAUGCGCAGAUAUCAGGAGGAACACCGGUGGCGAAGGCGGAUCUCUGGGCCGUAACUGACGCUGAGGAGCGAAAGCAUGGGGAGCGAACAGG
This 253-nucleotide ribosomal RNA is filed under the name uncultured bacterium. RNAcentral's name for it is "partial 16S ribosomal RNA". It matches the Rfam family "Bacterial small subunit ribosomal RNA", at positions 524 to 776 of the family's 1533-position model. The record is from RNAcentral.